AUGGUGGUUGAUGCCCUUGCGGUCAUUCUUGAUAAGGCCAAAGCCUGUGGCCACCUUCGUGGCGUUGUCCCCCAUCUGGUUGGGGAGGGAGGGGUCUCCCUCCUCCAAUAUGCAAAUGACACCAUUGUUAUGAUGGAGGGCUCAGCGGCUGACAUCACCAACCUAAAGUUCCUCCUCCUUUGUUUCCAACAGAUGUCAGGGCUUACCAUCAACUUCGAUAAGAGCGAAGUGAUGGUCCUUGGCUAUCCUCCGGAGGAGGCGGUGUCCAUUGCGGAUUGGCUUAACUGCCGCCUGGGUUCCUUCCUCAUGACCUAUCUGGGGAUACCCAUUAGUGAUUCCAGACACACCAUUGCUGACCUCCGCCUGACGGUGACCCGGAUGCAGCACCGGGUUGAACCUUGGUGGGGACGUUGGUUGUCAAAGGCGGCGAGGGUGAUCCUCAUCAACUCUUCGCUGGCUAGCCUUCUCUGGUUUCUCAUGAGCUUCUACAGCCUACAUGAGACCCUCCAUCAGGAGGUUGCUAAAUACCAGUCACGGUUCUACUGGGCGGGCAUGGGAGACAAGCAGAAGUAUCAUAUGGUGAGCUGGCCGACAUCUGCAAACCCAAGGACCAGGGUGGCCUGGGGAUCCUGUCAUCUCGCCGCAUGA
This 648-nucleotide ribosomal RNA is filed under the name Triticum aestivum (bread wheat). Its description in RNAcentral is "partial small subunit ribosomal RNA". The record is from RNAcentral. Lineage: Eukaryota; Viridiplantae; Streptophyta; Magnoliopsida; Poales; Poaceae.